UGGAAGAUGAAUGUGGUCUACCUAUCUCAAUAGUGUUGCUCAUAUCUGCCUGGUCCUCCAAUUCUUCAUCAGUCUCCUCAGGUGCAAGAGUGGGGGCAUAAGAGUGUGGGAAAGUAGGUGGCACAGUAGUAAGCUCAUGACUCUGCUCCCCAUCUCCUAUGUGGUUGUCACUAACCUCAUCUAGAAGCUGAACAAUCUGAAUUGGUGAUCCCUCUGAAGCUUGAGACUGUUCCUCAAUAUGUUGGGCGCCCAUCUG
Molecule: long non-coding RNA, 256 nt
Filed under: Vigna radiata
Lineage: Eukaryota; Viridiplantae; Streptophyta; Magnoliopsida; Fabales; Fabaceae
Description: long non-coding RNA (VRAD_LNC016659)
Source: RNAcentral